Non-coding RNA from Pelobates cultripes (western spadefoot toad), 754 nucleotides. The record is from the annotation of a GenBank genome assembly. NCBI's taxonomy places the organism in Eukaryota, Metazoa, Chordata, Amphibia, Anura, Pelobatidae.
GUAACAGUCUGGUGAGAGGACUUGAUGUUGAGAAAGGUUAUCACAUGGGAUCAGAAAGCUUUAUUUAAUUUGGUUUGCACACUGAGCAUUAAUCAUUGAAAGACGUCCGACACCAUACAUUUCACAAUACUAUUAUUAAGACUUAUAUUCUUGUUCCAGGAUGGGGAAAACGUGGAUGUCAUUCUCACUGCAUGCAGCGCUGGUCUUCCUACCAUGUAAGAGAUACAGCGGAAGCAUUGAUGGGAAGGAUUUUCUGAGAGGUGCAGGAGAAUAAGUGAUGGGGAGGCUGUGUGAGAGGUACAGGGGAAUCACUGAUGGUGCAAGUUCAUGAGAUAGCUUAGAGGAGCAAGAAAUGAGAGAAGCCAUGUAUGAAGUAUGGGGAUGCAAAAAUAGGCAAAAGGGUAAGGGUGAUGAAAAUUUAGUUAAACCUCUACAAUAAGUUGAGACCGGGUGAUAUUUAACAAUGAAUACAUUUGGAAUAUCCUUUUUUAGUCAUUGACAUCCUUCAUUUUAAUAUUUGAUACGCAAUUUAUUGUUUGCCCAUCAAUGUAUCAAAAAUAAACACUGGAUCUGAUGUUUUACAUACCUUUAUGUUGAUUGAUCUUUCUGUGUGUUCUGUUAGGUCUGUGUCUUGGGGUGAAGGUUGAACAGGGUUCUAAACUAAUAAUCGUUCAGGCUGGGGGCCCAGUUGAGCUUCAAUGUAAACACGAUGACACCAGCAUGCUUGCUAUGUAUUGGUAUCAACAGAAACCAG